UUAGCCGAUCCUUAUUCCUACAGUACCGUCAAGCUCCCACACGUGGGAGGGUUUCUUCCUGUAUAAAAGCAGUUUACAAUCCAUAGGACCGGCUUCCUGCACGCGGCAUGGCUGGUUCAGUCUUGCGACCAUUGACCACUAUUCCUCA
Molecule: ribosomal RNA, 148 nt
Filed under: uncultured Flavobacterium sp.
Lineage: Bacteria; Pseudomonadati; Bacteroidota; Flavobacteriia; Flavobacteriales; Flavobacteriaceae
Description: partial 16S ribosomal RNA
Source: RNAcentral